RNAcentral lists this ribosomal RNA (439 nucleotides) under uncultured bacterium. RNAcentral's name for it is "partial 16S ribosomal RNA". It matches the Rfam family "Bacterial small subunit ribosomal RNA", at positions 339 to 795 of the family's 1533-position model. The record is from RNAcentral.
CUACGGGACGCACCAGUGGGGAAUAUUGGACAAUGGGCGCAAGCCUGAUCCAGCAAUGCCGCGUGAGUGAAGACGGCCUUAGGGUUGUAAAACUCUUUCGCUAGGGAAGAUAAUGACUGUACCUAGUAAAGAAGUCCCGGCUAACUCCGUGCCAGCAGCCGCGGUAAUACGGAGGGGACUAGCGUUGUUCGGAAUUACUGGGCGUAAAGAGUUCGUAGGCGGACUGACAAGUUAGAGGUGAAAUCCCAGGGCUCAACCCUGGAACUGCCUUUAAAACUGUCAGUCUAGAGACCGGAAGAGGUUAGGGGAAUACCUAGUGUAGGGGUGAAAUUCGUAGAUAUUAGGUGGAGCACCAGUGGCGAAGGCGCCUAACUGGUCCGGUACUGACGCUGAGGAACGAAAGCGUGGGGAGCAAACAGGAUUAGAUACCCGCGUAGUC